Molecule: ribosomal RNA, 468 nt
Filed under: uncultured bacterium
Lineage: Bacteria
Description: partial 16S ribosomal RNA
Rfam family: Bacterial small subunit ribosomal RNA
Source: RNAcentral
GACGAACGCUGGCGGCGUGCUUAACACAUGCAAGUCGAACGGAAAGGCCCUGCUUUUGUGGGGUGCUCGAGUGGCGAACGGGUGAGUAACACGUGAGUAACCUGCCCUUGACUUUGGGAUAACUUCAGGAAACUGGGGCUAAUACCGGAUAGGAGCUCCUGCUGCAUGGUGGGGGUUGGAAAGUUUCGGCGGUUGGGGAUGGACUCGCGGCUUAUCAGCUUGUUGGUGGGGUAGUGGCUUACCAAGGCUUUGACGGGUAGCCGGCCUGAGAGGGUGACCGGCCACAUUGGGACGGAGGGACGGCCCAGACGCCUACGGGAGGCAGCAGUGGGGAAUAUGGCGCAAUGGGCGGGAGCCUGAUGCAGCAACGCCGCGUGCGGGGUGACGGCCUUCGGGUUGUGAACCGAUUUCGCCUGUGACGAAGCGUGAGUGACGGUAAUGAAUAAGGAAGCACCGGCUAACUACGUG